RNAcentral lists this small RNA (28 nucleotides) under Bombyx mori (domestic silkworm). RNAcentral's name for it is "ovarian small RNA-36645". The record is from RNAcentral. Lineage: Eukaryota; Metazoa; Arthropoda; Insecta; Lepidoptera; Bombycidae.
UUACUGCAGAGAUUUGGUCUUCGUUAGG